GACGAACGCUGGCGGCGUGCCUAAUACAUGCAAGUAGAACGCUGAAGGAGGAGCUUGCUUCUCUGGAUGAGUUGCGAACGGGUGAGUAACGCGUAGGUAACCUGCCUGGUAGCGGGGGAUAACUAUUGGAAACGAUAGCUAAUACCGCAUAAUAGUAGAUGUUGCAUGACAUUUGCUUAAAAGGUGCAAUUGCAUCACUACCAGAUGGACCUGCGUUGUAUUAGCUAGUUGGUGGGGUAACGGCUCACCAAGGCGACGAUACAUAGCCGACCUGAGAGGGUGAUCGGCCACACUGAGACUGAGACACGGCCCAGACUCCUACGGGAGGCAGCAGUAGGGAAUCUUCGGCAAUGGACGGAAGUCUGACCGAGCAACGCCGCGUGAGUGAAGAAGGUUUUCGGAUCGUAAAGCUCUGUUGUAAGAGAAGAACGAGUGUGAGAGUGGAAAGUUCACACUGUGACGGUAUCUUACCAGAAAGGGACGGCUAACUACGUG
RNAcentral lists this ribosomal RNA (495 nucleotides) under uncultured bacterium. Its description in RNAcentral is "partial 16S ribosomal RNA". It matches the Rfam family "Bacterial small subunit ribosomal RNA", at positions 28 to 507 of the family's 1533-position model. The record is from RNAcentral.